CGGAGUUAUCCAACUCCCAAACCCAUGUGAACUUAUCUCUUUGUUGCCUCGGCGCAAGCUACCCGGGACCUCGCGCCCCGGGCGGCCCGCCGGCGGACAAACCAAAACUCUUGUUAUCUUAGUUGAUUAUCUGAGUGUCUUAUUUAAUAAGUCA
This 154-nucleotide unclassified non-coding RNA is filed under the name soil metagenome. Its description in RNAcentral is "partial internal transcribed spacer 1". The record is from RNAcentral.